CCUACGGGAGACAGCAGUGGGGAAUAUUGCGCAAUGGGCGAAAGCCUGACGCAGCGACGCCGCGUGAGGGAUGAAGGUCUUCGGAUCGUAAACCUCUGUCAGCAGGGAAGAACGGUCACUGUGCUAAUCAGCAGUGAAUUGACGGUACCUGCACAGGAAGCACCGGCUAACUCCGUGCCAGCAGCCGCGGUAAUACGGAGGGUGCGAGCGUUAAUCGGAAUUACUGGGCGUAAAGCGCUCGUAGGCGGUAUGUCAAGGCAAGGGUGAAAUCCCCGCGCUCAACGUGGGAACUGCCUUUGAAACUGGCAAACUGGAGUGUGUGAGGGGAUAGUGGAAUUCCAGGUGUAGGGGUGAAAUGCGUAGAUAUCUGGAGGAACAUCAGUGGCGAAGGCGACUAUCUGGCACAUAACUGACGCUGAGGAGCGAAAGCGUGGGUAGCAAACAGGAUUAGAUACCCUAGUAGUC
This 465-nucleotide ribosomal RNA is filed under the name uncultured bacterium. RNAcentral describes it as "partial 16S ribosomal RNA". It matches the Rfam family "Bacterial small subunit ribosomal RNA", at positions 338 to 795 of the family's 1533-position model. The record is from RNAcentral.